RNAcentral lists this long non-coding RNA (903 nucleotides) under Apteryx owenii (little spotted kiwi). RNAcentral's name for it is "lncRNA (ENSAOWG00000009729.1)". Lineage: Eukaryota; Metazoa; Chordata; Aves; Apterygiformes; Apterygidae. The record is from RNAcentral.
GCCUGUGUUUGUGUGGGGCUGAGGGAAGACACAGGAUCAUGGAGAAAGUUUUGGCAGAGCUGGGAAGCAAGCCCGUCUUUACAUGCUAAAUGAUUAAGCAAUGCUUCUGGACAGCCAAGAUGCCCUGCCCCACCGCUGCCCUCCUGAAGGCCGUGAGCUAGGAAAUAAGCUUAGCACAGAUGUUGAUGGACAACAUAGAGGUGCUGAGUCCUGCAUGCCGAACUCACGCUGCCAUCGGGAGAGCAGAAACAUCGGUGGGACACUGCGAGACAUCCCUGCGUAGCUGCACUGGGUGAUAUGAUGGUGUGUAAGCAAACGGUGAGCUGCAUGUCUGCCUCCAGCAGAGUUCAUUCAGCCCAUACGCGUUUGAGGUGGAUUUCCACCACGGAGAAACUCGAAAGCAAUCAGUGGGUGUGAGAGCAGACACUGCGAAAUUUAAAUAAGUCUUGCUCUAGGUGUUACUGCUACCUCCUGAAUCCCAUAUUUAGCUCACUAGGUUGUACUCAGCCUAGGAGUCAUGAAAUGUUAUAAAGGCCAGAACAGUCGGCAAAUAGCAAGUGAUCUGUCUUUCCCAGCAGCUCAAGUGACAGAUAAGAAUCGUGCAGUCUGUUAUAGAUGACAUAUCAUUAGGUUGCAGCCAACUUGAGUGAAAGGAAAAGCAGCCAACUGAAACUCCAGGGGUCACUGCAGAACGCAGUCACCCAGAGCGACGGGAAUCUGGGCAAAAUACCCAACACUGGCACUUUCUGACCGUGCCAUAGAUCUAACAGUAAACACACACUGGCCAGGAAGUAUUAUCACACAUAUUUGUAUAGCCUGAAUUUCCUGGUACAGUGUUUUUCUUAACACCAAGAUGUCAAUCAUUGAAAUAAAAUAUUCCACUAAAAUAUUUUAUAGGAAUCU